UAUAUAUAUUGGACCACAUAUUUUCUAUUGGUUGCACACUUAGUUAAUAUUUGUCUGAAUUGUACUUACACUUGUUUUCUCUGUUUGAGGAGCUGCUUGGGAUAAAGGAUGGCUGAAGGGGCUGGCAGCCAUUUUAUAACUUUGGAGGCCUACCAAGUUGAAAUGGACUGAGGGGGGAACUUCAGUUUAAUUUUGGUUAAUUUAGAUAUUUAAUUUGCUUUACCUCACUUUUGUAAUCACUUUUGAGUUUGUUUUAAGUUAAAGUUAUUUUGUUUUAUUUUGGGUUUUUACCUUUGUUAAAUUGGUAGUUUUGUUUCUUUUUGUUUGAUAUCUCCCCUCUUGAGUUAAGGUUUGGUUACUCCACCCCUUUUUAAGCAGCUUCUGUUAAUUAUCAUGAGUUCAGUUUUUCUUGAGUUUCUGUAUUGUUCA
Long non-coding RNA from Thalassophryne amazonica, 429 nucleotides. RefSeq lists it as uncharacterized. The record is from RefSeq and is a predicted model, not a curated record. The transcript is spliced from 2 exons. NCBI's taxonomy places the organism in Eukaryota, Metazoa, Chordata, Actinopteri, Batrachoidiformes, Batrachoididae.